Molecule: small RNA, 16 nt
Filed under: Arabidopsis thaliana (thale cress)
Lineage: Eukaryota; Viridiplantae; Streptophyta; Magnoliopsida; Brassicales; Brassicaceae
Description: ATSL301020
Source: RNAcentral
AUAUGCAAAAUAAAAA